CGGCCGGGCGCGGGCGGAGCGCGGCGCAUGGGGCGGUCGCGGGGCGCGGCGCGGCGCUGCCGGGCGGCGGCCAGUCGAGGCGGCGCGGCAGGGACGAAACCGCUGGAGCCGGCAACUUGGUCCGGCGGGGACUGAAGCCAAUCGAUGCCACUUGCCAUGGAUGCCUUCGCCCGCCGUCCAGCGUCAAGAGCCGCUGGGGGGCGUUGUUGUGCGUCUCGCGCUGAGGUCGCUACGCCGCCGCAUCGCGAGGAUGCAUGCCAUGGUUGCCAGCUCCGCCACCGGGAGGUCGAGGAUGCGGGCACCGCGCGCUAAGCGCGUGCGGUUGUUUCCAUCACAGCCGCUCGCCCGUGGGCCGUGGCACGUCUUGUCAUACACCGGCUGGUGCCUCGCUGCGGAGCAGCGGCCACGGGCGCCGCCAUGCUCCUUGAGGGGCAUCUCCAUGUAGGUUGUGAACGGCGCCUCCGGCCGCUGCGGGCUGGAGCGCUGGGCCUCUGCCACCGGUGAUGCAGCCGUGCGGUAGAUCACCGUUGGCACCAUCGGCCGCAACCAGCGUCUCCGCUGCCUUGUGCGGUCAUGCCAGCAGCGAGCGGCUCGAUGGUACUUUCUUUUCUCCUCCUUUACGCACUCAGAUGAGAGCAAUUUGCUUGUGUGCGUAGGCGUACAGGUAACAAUCAGAUCAUUGAUUGAUUAUUAGAAGAAGACAAGAUCAAAAAGUGUACUUGAUUGAUUCCUCUUUGUUGGCCUUCUUGCCAUUGACGGGAAGUUGCCGAUCGGAUCGCCACGUUUAGCACCAUGGUGGUGGCAUGGAUCGGGUGGCAGCGGGCUGCACGCCGAUCGGAGAUCUGGAUCGUCCGCAUCCACCGCCCCAAUCCGCGAGGGCUGUCAUCCGAGAACGACUCCAUCGCGCGUAGCCGCAGUUGCUCUCUCGGCAGGGCGUGCUGAUAACGUGUUAGAAAGGGAAACGAGAGACAAUCGAGAGAGCCUUGGAACAGAUGUAAAAGUGAAUUCCUUGUUCUCAUUGAUGAUGGGUUACACAUAUAUAUAACCCCUGAAGGGGUGUCUCCGAAGGAACACGAGGCAACCGCCUCCUUUAGAAAAAGUAGGGAUUAACAGGAUUAAUUAAAUCCUAACACAAAUAACUGCAACCUAGGACAGGUCUACACUUCUUCACUGCUGAUAGAUAAAAUACAUGUCCUGUAUUUUCUAUCUAAAUUAUUAAUGUUGGUUCAAUAUUUGCAUGUCUAAUCUUAUCAACUAGUAAGAAGCAUUCUACUACCUUUUUUUAUCUGCAAGGUAGUUGUUACGGUGUUUGGAUAAAGUUAUUUAUGGUAGUAACUUCUAUGUUGUGGAACUAGUUUUAGAGGGCAGCAGCUUAAACCGAAGCUUGUACAUAUUCAUUAGAAGCUACACUCUAGCAUGAUCUCUCCUAUGAGAUCAUUACAUGUUGCAAUCAAAUGGACACGGCAGCCAUCGGCAACAAGCGUCGUAAGAAAGAUAAUUAGGAACAUAGGUGGGGCACCAUAGUAAAACAGAGGCGGGGGUGAUAUUUUUUCUUCACCCGUUGCAACGUAAGGGCCCUUUUGCUAGUGUAUCCCAAAUAACAAGUGCCGCAAUUGUGGCACUUAUCAAGUUGGCCUGAACGCAAUAGCUGUUGUUGGAUUGAUUUGCACGAAUAUUGCAGCAGUUGCCAUCUGAGUCAAGUGUCACGUAAGUGCACAACGUUGUGUGCGCGAUCUGCUCCUUGUCCGAGCGGACUGCAUCCAUUCCCUUUAGCAUACGGUCGCUCGCUCUCCGUGCGGUGAAACUGCUCUACGCUCGCACGACCGCCACCUCGCUUAAUUCUUGGCACGUAGCCGUUUUUUUCACUGCACAGCCGCGCUCCCUUCCCGUUUGCAUCCGUUCCCCACCCACUUCUCCUUGACUCUGCGUCGACCUGAGAGCGAUUCUGCGAUGACACUGAGGCGAUUCCGCGGCAACCUCCGACGAAAUCGUGGCGGAAGUCUCGCGGAGACUAGUUGUCGUCGCCAGGAGGACUCUCAGUCGCUCCGUCACUGGUGGAUUUUGAAGUGUGCAAAGCGAAUCCAUGGUGAAUCCGUGGUGGAUGUGUUAGGGGCGUCGUUUCCAUGUCGCCGGUGAGUCGCUGACGUGUUGAUGGUUAGGGUAGUAGUUCUCAUUCUCCUAGUCGUGGUACGUCUCACCCGCGCCUCGCCUUUUGUGCUCACCUAGUCGCCGGCUUAACUUCAAUGGAGUCGUUAUUCGUUGUUGAUGGGAGCAAUCUAGGGGGGCAUCUACUAUGGGAUUGGACUUCUGAAAGGGAUCACGUGGUUCAAAUCCGAGGCACGGCGCAAUGUUUGUUCUGUUUUUACAGUAACCCUAGAUUUAGAUUUGUUCUGUUGUGAGAUUGAGUUGAGUUCUUCCAUGUUUAAUUAGGCGCAUGUUCAUGGCAAUUCAUUGGUUGCAAAAAUAUUCUUAAUUGCCUUUUUUGCUUUUCGUAACCAUGACAACUCUGUUUGUAGCAAUAACCUGAAUGUUUUCCAUGUGGACUAAUUACCUGA
Triticum dicoccoides is the source of this 2555-nucleotide long non-coding RNA. RefSeq lists it as uncharacterized. Lineage: Eukaryota; Viridiplantae; Streptophyta; Magnoliopsida; Poales; Poaceae. The record is from RefSeq and is a predicted model, not a curated record. The transcript has 2 exons.